This is a long non-coding RNA of Neopsephotus bourkii (Bourke's parrot), 688 nucleotides long. RefSeq lists it as uncharacterized. The record is from RefSeq and is a predicted model, not a curated record. The transcript has 3 exons. NCBI's taxonomy places the organism in Eukaryota, Metazoa, Chordata, Aves, Psittaciformes, Psittacidae.
AUUUUAAAUGGAGGACAUAAACCAGCAACCUCCCUGUACACAGGUAUUUCUCCCAUUUUACUUUCUGUGGUAGAGACUAGGCCAUGGCAUGAAAAAGGCAGUGAGUUGGUCAGCCAGUGUAAAUGACCAAACCAGACCUGUACUGGUCCCAUUCAGACACCCUGAGAACUUAGCAAACAUUUCUGGCUGUGUCCUGUGAGACCAUCAUGUGUAUAAUCUGUCUGUUUCUAACAGCAGAGAGCCAUGAGGAGAUAUUUCAUAAGGAAGAUUUUGCAAUACAUGUUUACAAACCAUUCUCCUACAUGAGACAAAGUGACCCUCAUUUUGAGUAAGAGGCAUGCAAGAAAGAUGCUCAGACGUGUUCUCCCUGUGUUUCUGUUUCUUGUCUUUCCAGGGGGCUGUUCAUUGCAGUGAUUGUGAGUCUGCUCUUCCUUGUGUUAUUGAGCUUCACAGCUGGGGUUCUCUUCUGGAUUUUCAUCUUGGGCAUGAUUGGAAUUAUAGGUUAUGGCACGUGGCACGGUUACGACCAUCUCGAAGGAAUACCUGGAUCUGCCCUCACUCUUUGUGAUCCUGGAUUCCAGAGAGACUUCCGAGUGUACCUGCAGCUGAGGCAAAAGUGGGUAGCGUUUAUGCUUGGGACAAGCUACAUUAACUUGACAGAGCUGAACUGGAUUGAGACCAGCUUCAA